AAGAGGACAUACCCUUCUUGCGGUCGCGGCUGGACCGAGGGUGGAGGGCCCUGCGCCUGCGUGGACCUGGAGUCCUGCUCUACCGCAGCCGCUGGGAGGCCAGCGGUUGCAGUGGGGACCUGUCGGGCCCCUCCCUCCUCCGGUGCCCCCCACCAGGUCCUUCCCCACGGAGACGCGCCGGCUGACCGCGGGCGAGUGCAGCCAGUGACCCGGCAAGAGGCGGCGCCGCUCCCAAGAAGUCUCAGACGGCCGUGUACGAAACCUACUAUUUUUUUUAAGUUCUUAGUUAUUGGAAAUGCAGAACUGGCAACUCUUGCUUAUUUCGUCAGUUUAUUGAAAAAAAAAAUCAAAAUGACUCAAAUCAUACAAUAGGAGUGGAAUUUGGUUCAAAGGUAAUAAAUGUUUGUGGUAAAUAUGUAAAGUUACAAAUACGGGAUACAGCACGACAAGAACGAUUCAAGUCUGUGAAGAGAAGUUAUUACCCAGGGGCGACCGGGGCUCUCCUCGUCUAUAAUAUCAGCAGCCGAGAAACCUACAAUGCACUUACUAAUUGGUUAACAGAUGCCCGAAUGCUAGCGAGUCAGAACAUUGUGAUCAUCCUUUGUGGAAUGCAGAUCGUGAAGUUACCUUCUUAGAAGCCUCCAGAUUUGCUCAAGAAAAUUAGCUGAUGUUUUUGGAAACAAGUGCACUAACAGGGGAGAAUGUAGAAGAGGCUUUUGUACAGUGUGCAAGAAAAAAUACUUAACAAAAUUGAAUCAGAUGAGCUGGACCCAGAAAGAAUGGGCUCAGGUGUUCAGUACAGAGAUGCUGUAUUGAGACAGCUGAGAUCACUGCGGUGCACACAGGCCCCAAAAGCUCAGAAGUGUGGUUGUUAGGAGCCAUGGGACAGCACACAGGUGUUCAUACAGUGGCAUUUGGGACACAAUUGUUGGAACCUUAAGAAUCUGAGGUUUUUUACCACCAUCCUUUUCUACACUGUAUGGAAGUAGAUCUUUAUGGGGAAAAGAGAAUUUGGGGUGUUCUGCCAGCUAGUCAAAGUGGCACAGCAAAUCAUAUAAAUCCAAUUAAAUGGACAACACCAUUAGAUGUGUAUGUAAAAAUUUUCUGUUUCAUAUUUUCCCUUUCCCUUUCAGUUUAAAACAUGCUAUAAACAUGCUAUGUACUGUAUGUCCUGGAGCCCAGUGCAGCUCCACAGCAUGGAAUCUGAUGUAUGAUAUGAUAGAAUGUGGCACUAAAUGCAGUUUCAGAUUUAAUUUUUUUUAAUCGUA
This is an RNA transcript of Mandrillus leucophaeus (drill), 1268 nucleotides long. It is a transcript of the gene named ras-related protein Rab-4A pseudogene, with no coding region annotated. The record is from RefSeq and is a predicted model, not a curated record. The transcript has a single exon. Lineage: Eukaryota; Metazoa; Chordata; Mammalia; Primates; Cercopithecidae.